Long non-coding RNA from Corvus hawaiiensis (hawaiian crow), 1583 nucleotides. RefSeq lists it as uncharacterized. Lineage: Eukaryota; Metazoa; Chordata; Aves; Passeriformes; Corvidae. The record is from RefSeq and is a predicted model, not a curated record. The transcript is spliced from 2 exons.
CGCGCCUGCGCGGCGCGGUGACGGCGCGGCCCCCGCCCGGCCUGGCCUCGUCGGCCUCUGUUUAGUUUCGGUUUCACAGGAUCACGGAGCUGACUGCGUCGGGAAACACCUCCGAGAUCACCGAGGCCAACCUGGGACCGGUCUCCACCUCGUCAAGCAGACCGUGGCACCGGGUGUCACGUUCAGUCUUUCCUUAAACACCUUGAGCGACGGCGACUCCACCGCGUCCCUGGGCAGCCCGUUCCAGUGUCUAACCACCCGCUGAAGAAAUCCUGCCUGAUGUCCAACCCGAACCUUCGCUGGCGCAGCUUGAGGCCACGUCCUCUUGUUCUGUCGAUUGAGGAGACCGAACCACACCUGGCUCUAACCUCUUUUCGGAGUCACUGGAGAAACAGGAUCAGCCUUCUGCUGACAGUGCCACAGGGGGCCGAGCUCUGAGAUGCAGCACUGAUCAGCACAGGGAGCAAAUGGAGCCUCAUACAACUGAUGCACUCGAGCUAAUCCCCUUCACAUUUUCUUUCUGACAGAUUAAUCACCUUUCACCCACCUGCAAGGAAGAUCAGAGUCAGAAUCUCAAAAGAUGACCUCAGCAGCUCUCUAGUCUGCGUCAAAGACUUUUCAAUUGUUGUUUAACCGUUAAAGAUGCCAGAGGACAGAAAGGAACAGAAAGGAACAAAAGCCAAUUUGCAUUGCACUGACUGCAGGGAGUAGGUACCAACUCAGUUAAACUACCUUCAUAUCCCCAAAUUUACAGGGCAUUUCAGACCAACUCAAGACUAAUUGCACUCCAGGGCUAGCAGAUCCUAGGGCUACUACAAUCAACUUUUUAAUUCUGACUGAAGAAUUAUCUCUGCGAAGCUGACUGAGAGUGGAGAAAAUGCCAUAAAGACUCCUACGUAAGGGACAGAAUGUGGCAUGAGGGCCACUGCCCACAGCACCUUCCAAACACACUUCCUUGCUACUGUGUUCAGGAGAUGCAACUAUGAGGUCUAAUGCCCAUCAUUUUCUCAAGCAACAUCCCAUCCUCUCUCCCACAAUCCAAAACGAUCUCCAUUGUCUCCCACAAUCCAAAACAAUCUCCAUGCUGUGCAACUAACAGGGCACUUAUAACAGUUGUUUUCUCAGACUCACAGCUUCUAAUACCUAGGUGACAAAACAGUAGCCUCAAUUUAUGCUGAGACACCACCAACAGACAACAGGCAUCCAUGAAACAUCAGAUAAGACAUCCCUUCACCAUUAGCGGUAUCAGUCAGGGUAGAGAGCAAUGCCCUUCAAUUGAUGCACUAUAUAUAUAUAUGUGUGUGUAUAUAUAUAUAUAUAUACAUAUAUCACAGUUAUAUUCUUUUGCACACCCUUCUUCAAAUAAAGUGAGAUACCCAGCUUAGUAUUACAAGUUGCACUCCAGGAGAAACAUCAGUUCUUUUGGAACAGGCAAGAAACAAGGAGUUCUGCGCUCCCCAGCUACCACAGGGAAGGGAUUGUUUUUCUUCUAAAACCACACAUUAAAACUGAAGAGCAAAAAGAGUCUUAUUUCAUGGGUUCUGUCUAACUUGUGCAUUGUAAUAAAAAGAGAAUCAGUAUCA